UACAGAGGUGGCAAGCGUUGUUCGGAAUUACUGGGCGUAAAGGGAGCGCAGGCGGCCGAGUCAGUCUGGAGUGCAAGCCCGGGGCUCAACCCCGGAAUUGCUUUGGAUACUACUUGGCUUGAGUACGUCAGAGGUGAGCGGAAUUCCAGGUGUAGCGGUGAAAUGCGUAGAUAUCUGGAGGAACAUCGGUGGCGAAGGCGGCUCACUGGGACGAAACUGACGCUGAGGCUCGAAAGCGUGGGGAGCGAACGGG
This 253-nucleotide ribosomal RNA is filed under the name uncultured bacterium. Its description in RNAcentral is "partial 16S ribosomal RNA". It matches the Rfam family "Bacterial small subunit ribosomal RNA", at positions 524 to 776 of the family's 1533-position model. The record is from RNAcentral.